CCUACGGGAGACAGCAGUGAGGAAUAUUGGUCAAUGGGCGGAAGCCUGAACCAGCCAAGUCGCGUGAGGGAUUAAGGCCCUGCGGGUCGUAAACCUCUUUUGCCGGGGAGCAGUGGUCCGGACGUGUCCGGGCCGGGAGAGUACCCGGAGAAAAAGCAUCGGCUAACUCCGUGCCAGCAGCCGCGGUAAUACGGAGGAUGCGAGCGUUAUCCGGAUUUAUUGGGUUAAAGGGGUGCGUAGGCGGGCAUUUAAGCCGGCGGUCAAAUGUCGGGGCUCAACCCCGGCCUGCCGUCGGAACUGGGUGCCUUGAGUGGGCGAGAAGUAUGCGGAAUGCGUGGUGUAGCGGUGAAAUGCAUAGAUAUCACGCAGAACCCCGAUUGCGAAGGCAGCAUACCGGCGCCCUACUGACGCUGAGGCACGAAAGUGCGGGUAUCGAACAGGAUUAGAUACCCCAGUAGUC
This 460-nucleotide ribosomal RNA is filed under the name uncultured bacterium. RNAcentral describes it as "partial 16S ribosomal RNA". It matches the Rfam family "Bacterial small subunit ribosomal RNA", at positions 338 to 795 of the family's 1533-position model. The record is from RNAcentral.